Molecule: ribosomal RNA, 115 nt
Filed under: Salipiger abyssi
Lineage: Bacteria; Pseudomonadati; Pseudomonadota; Alphaproteobacteria; Rhodobacterales; Roseobacteraceae
Source: RNAcentral
UUUGGUGGUCAUAGCGCGAGCAAAACACCCGGAUCCAUUCCGAACCCGGCCGUUAAGUGCCGUUGCGCCAAUGGUACUGCGACUCAAGUCGUGGGAGAGUAGGUCACCGCCAAAC